GGAUCAAUACUGAGCGUCCAGUUCUAACCAUGGCUUUCCUUGCGCUGUGUCAUACCGUCUCCAAUAUUCUCAUUCUUCUCCGUGCACUCGUGAUACUUUACCACGGUCUCCAACGUAACGAACGUAAUCCGACUCCACCCAGCCCAAACGCACCCCAUUAGCGAACGAGCGUGUCGAUGAGCUGCAAAUGACGAUGCGACAUAACGGUGGUCGCAAUGCAAUAAAAUCACUCCCCGAGGGCUCCCCGUUCGACGACGCAAUGCGUGAAAAGCAAACCAAAUCAUCCCCGCAGGCACACUCACAUAAAACAGAAUCCCCCACCCGCUUUCGAACCGUGUCCAUGUCGUAAGCCUAAUAGGGAUUGCGUUACCUUCUCCUUGGCCUGCCGAAAUGCCAGAGGUGGCGCUACGAGGCUGUCUGGGAUGGAAAGCUCACCCUGCAGCAGGUGGAAAUAUAGUUUGAAAAAAUAGCGGAGAAAACUGAUCUUCUUGUCAAGUGUGAC
Anopheles stephensi (Asian malaria mosquito) is the source of this 502-nucleotide long non-coding RNA. RefSeq lists it as uncharacterized. The record is from RefSeq and is a predicted model, not a curated record. The transcript is spliced from 2 exons. NCBI's taxonomy places the organism in Eukaryota, Metazoa, Arthropoda, Insecta, Diptera, Culicidae.